This 640-nucleotide ribosomal RNA is filed under the name Vibrio sp. Its description in RNAcentral is "bacterial SSU rRNA". It matches the Rfam family "Bacterial small subunit ribosomal RNA", at positions 67 to 687 of the family's 1533-position model. The record is from RNAcentral. Lineage: Bacteria; Pseudomonadati; Pseudomonadota; Gammaproteobacteria; Vibrionales; Vibrionaceae.
CGGAACGAGUUAUCUGAACCUUCGGGGAACGAUAACGGCGUCGAGCGGCGGACGGGUGAGUAAUGCCUAGGAAAUUGCCCUGAUGUGGGGGAUAACCAUUGGAAACGAUGGCUAAUACCGCAUGAUGCCUACGGGCCAAAGAGGGGGACCUUCGGGCCUCUCGCGUCAGGAUAUGCCUAGGUGGGAUUAGCUAGUUGGUGAGGUAAGGGCUCACCAAGGCGACGAUCCCUAGCUGGUCUGAGAGGAUGAUCAGCCACACUGGAACUGAGACACGGUCCAGACUCCUACGGGAGGCAGCAGUGGGGAAUAUUGCACAAUGGGCGCAAGCCUGAUGCAGCCAUGCCGCGUGUGUGAAGAAGGCCUUCGGGUUGUAAAGCACUUUCAGUCGUGAGGAAGGUGGUGUAGUUAAUAGCUGCAUUAUUUGACGUUAGCGACAGAAGAAGCACCGGCUAACUCCGUGCCAGCAGCCGCGGUAAUACGGAGGGUGCGAGCGUUAAUCGGAAUUACUGGGCGUAAAGCGCAUGCAGGUGGUUUGUUAAGUCAGAUGUGAAAGCCCGGGGCUCAACCUCGGAAUAGCAUUUGAAACUGGCAGACUAGAGUACUGUAGAGGGGGGUAGAAUUUCAGGUGUAGCGGUGAAAU